CUACGGGUUGCAGCAGUGAGGAAUAUUGCACAAUGGGGGGAACCCUGGUGCAGCAACGCCGCGUGGAGGAUGACGCAUUUCGGUGUGUAAACUCCUUUUAUAUGUCAAGAAAAUGACGGUAGCAUAUGAAUAAGCACCGGCUAACUCCGUGCCAGCAGCCGCGGUAAUACGGAGGGUGCAAGCGUUACUCGGAAUCACUGGGCGUAAAGGACGCGUAGGCGGGUUGGAAAGUCAGGUGUGAAAUCCUACAGCUUAACUGUAGAACUGCACUUGAAACUUCUAAUCUAGAGUAUGGGAGGGGGAGAUGGAAUUAGUGGUGUAGGGGUAAUAUCCGUAGAUAUCACUAGGAAUACCUAAAGCGAAGGCGAUCUCCUGGAACAUUACUGACGCUAAGGCGUGAAAGCGUGGGGAGCAAACAGGAUUAGAUACCCGAGUAGUC
This 439-nucleotide ribosomal RNA is filed under the name uncultured bacterium. RNAcentral describes it as "partial 16S ribosomal RNA". It matches the Rfam family "Bacterial small subunit ribosomal RNA", at positions 339 to 795 of the family's 1533-position model. The record is from RNAcentral.